RNAcentral lists this long non-coding RNA (212 nucleotides) under Bos indicus x Bos taurus (hybrid cattle). RNAcentral describes it as "lncRNA (ENSBIXG00005013638.1)". Lineage: Eukaryota; Metazoa; Chordata; Mammalia; Artiodactyla; Bovidae. The record is from RNAcentral.
GAAUGGUGAAUCCAUUGCUGUUUGGAGGAGUGAAGUGGUAUAAUUUUUUUUAAAGGCUCCCCAGGAACCAUCAGUGGAACAAGUUACUGGGAAUGUGUUGAGUCUCCUUAACUGGGGAGAGGACCCAAGGAUGUUACCAUUCAUGUUGAAGAGUGUUACCCCCGUGGAGAGCACAGACCUUAGGAUUAGGAUGGUAUGAGGUCAGGAUUGAC